CAGCAGCCACGGUAACACGAAGGGGGCUAGCGUUGCUCGGAAUCACUGGGCGUAAAGGGUGCGUAGGCGGGUCUUUAAGUCAGGGGUGAAAUCCUGGAGCUCAACCCCAGAACUGCCUUUGAUACUGAAGAUCUUGAGUUCGGGAGAGGUGAGUGGAACUGCGAGUGUAGAGGUGAAAUUCGUAGAUAUUCGCAAGAACACCAGUGGCGAAGGCGGCCCACUGGCCCGAUACUGACGCUGAGGCACGAAAGCGUGGGGAGCAAACAGGAUUAGAUACCCCCGUAGUCCCUGUCUCUUAUAC
RNAcentral lists this ribosomal RNA (301 nucleotides) under uncultured bacterium. RNAcentral's name for it is "partial 16S ribosomal RNA". It matches the Rfam family "Bacterial small subunit ribosomal RNA", at positions 509 to 807 of the family's 1533-position model. The record is from RNAcentral.